AAAUUGAAGAGUUUGAUCAUGGCUCAGAUUGAACGCUGGCGGCAGGCCUAACACAUGCAAGUCGAACGGUAACAGGAAGCAGCUUGCUGCUUCGCUGACGAGUGGCGGACGGGUGAGUAAUGUCUGGGAAACUGCCUGAUGGAGGGGGAUAACUACUGGAAACGGUAGCUAAUACCGCAUAACGUCGCAAGACCAAAGAGGGGGACCUUCGGGCCUCUUGCCAUCGGAUGUGCCCAGAUGGGAUUAGCUAGUAGGUGGGGUAACGGCUCACCUAGGCGACGAUCCCUAGCUGGUCUGAGAGGAUGACCAGCCACACUGGAACUGAGACACGGUCCAGACUCCUACGGGAGGCAGCAGUGGGGAAUAUUGCACAAUGGGCGCAAGCCUGAUGCAGCCAUGCCGCGUGUAUGAAGAAGGCCUUCGGGUUGUAAAGUACUUUCAGCGGGGAGGAAGGGAGUAAAGU
RNAcentral lists this ribosomal RNA (463 nucleotides) under Escherichia coli. RNAcentral's name for it is "bacterial SSU rRNA". It matches the Rfam family "Bacterial small subunit ribosomal RNA", at positions 1 to 460 of the family's 1533-position model. The record is from RNAcentral. Lineage: Bacteria; Pseudomonadati; Pseudomonadota; Gammaproteobacteria; Enterobacterales; Enterobacteriaceae.